This 436-nucleotide ribosomal RNA is filed under the name uncultured bacterium. Its description in RNAcentral is "bacterial SSU rRNA". It matches the Rfam family "Bacterial small subunit ribosomal RNA", at positions 954 to 1390 of the family's 1533-position model. The record is from RNAcentral.
GCAAAACGCGAAGAACCUUACCUACUCUUGACAUCCAGAGAACUUAGCAGAGAUGCUUUGGCGCCUUCGGGAACUCUGAGACAGGUGCUGCAUGGCUGUCGUCAGCUCGUGUUGUGAAAUGUUGGGUUAAGUCCCGCAACGAGCGCAACCCUUAUCCUUUGUUGCCAGCGGUUAGGCCGGGAACUCAAAGGAGACUGCCAGUGAUAAACUGGAGGAAGGUGGGGAUGACGUCAAGUCAUCAUGGCCCUUACGAGUAGGGCUACACACGUGCUACAAUGGCAUAUACAAAGAGAAGCGACCUCGCGAGAGCAAGCGGACCUCAUAAAGUAUGUCGUAGUCCGGAUUGGAGUCUGCAACUCGACUCCAUGAAGUCGGAAUCGCUAGUAAUCGUGGAUCAGAAUGCCACGGUGAAUACGUUCCCGGGUCUUGUACACAC